AUUGAACGCUGGCGGCAGGCCUAACACAUGCAAGUCGAACGAGUGGCGGAAGGGUGGGUAAUGUAUGGGAAACUGCCUGAUGGAUGGGGAUCACUAAUGGGAACGAUUGCUAAUACCGCAUAGAAUCAGCUGUGUCCGGGUGGGAUGAGCUAGUUGGUGGGGUAACGGCUCACCAAGGCCAAGAUCCCGAGCUGGUCUGAGAGGAUGACCAGCCACCCUGGAACUGAGACACGGUCCAGACUCCUACGGGAGGCAGCAGUGGGGAAUAUUGGACAAUGGGCGCAAGCCUGAUGCAGCCAUGCCGCGUGUAUGAAGAAGGCCUUCGGGUUGUAAAGUACUUUCAGCUGGGAGGCGUUACCCACAGAAGAAGCACCGGCUAACUCCGUGCCAGCAGCCGCGGUAAUAC
Molecule: ribosomal RNA, 406 nt
Filed under: uncultured bacterium
Lineage: Bacteria
Description: partial 16S ribosomal RNA
Rfam family: Bacterial small subunit ribosomal RNA
Source: RNAcentral